CCUACCAUUUUCAGAAACCUUGCCCUUGCCUUGAGCUGCAGCCGCCACACCCCUUCUGCUAGGGUUAGGUUCUUACUGUUGUCGAGCCAGUUCGAAGUCUUCUCCUACUCCAGUUCUCCUGUUCGUUCCUUGAAGCUGUCGUGCUCGUGCGUUCAGUAGCUAGGGCGUGUCGGAGCGUUUUGCUAGCUUGAAUCCCAGAUGAGAGGGAGGUUCGUGAUGGAUCCGGGAGACGCAGCGGUGCGGCCUAGACUUCCCUGUCUGGAUGUCUUAGGAAUAGUUUCAGGGCCAUGAGGCCUUUUGUAUUAGUUGCCUUAGUGGCAACCUUUUUGCAAAACUGUUGCACCCCUUUUUAAAUUUCCUUUUACUUAGGACAAUGUGGUAUGCCUAAGUUUCUUUUAAGUGACUCCGGAUGACUGUACUAGUUAUCCUUCUUACGUUUCAUGUUUA
Long non-coding RNA from Vigna unguiculata (cowpea), 447 nucleotides. NCBI's taxonomy places the organism in Eukaryota, Viridiplantae, Streptophyta, Magnoliopsida, Fabales, Fabaceae. The record is from RefSeq and is a predicted model, not a curated record.